GGUUCCUGGUAGUUUUUGCUCAUUCAACUCCGGGAUCCUAACAUUACAUUAGUAAAGCCCUGAUUCUGCUCAAGCCUCCCCAAAUUCUUACUGGUGUGACUGUGUAUGACCGGAGCACCUGACUCUCAGCCCAGUACAUGUGUGUGCAUGGUACAACAAUGGAACAAUAAAUGGGAGGGAAGGGAGGGAAGAGCCAUCAAGGAAGACUGCCCAGAAAAGCUGAUGCUCGAGGCAAGACUUCUGGGGGAGAAGCAUGCCAAACCAGAAAAGAUAAGGACACCAGUUAUCACAGAAUUUGUGUGACAGCACUUAAACGAUACACACUGACUUUGGGACAUCCAACUUUUACCAGGUACUGUUUUAGGAGAAUAAUCAAUAGCGUUUAGUGUAAUGCAAAUUACACUAAAUUUUGGCUGUCAAACUCCAAAGCAUAGAGAAAUUAUUAAGAGUUAAACACAGUGAAGAUCUCUAGGGUCCCUAAAGGGCAGCUGUAGGUUCAGAAAGUUGUACUACAUUUUCUUACAUGGCUACCAAAUCCUGCUCCUAUUUCCUCAUCUAGGAGGAGAUAAGGACAGAAUUUGGUGUGUCUGAUUCCUUUGAGAGGAAGAUAUGAAUUUGAUUAAGGAGUCAACAUUCAUAUUUUUCUGAUAAUUACCAAUAACUUGUGGCUAGGGAGCUAAACAUCACUCCUGUCCUGAGAAUGUAAAUGUGUGUACUUGUUUUGCUCCAAUGUUGUCUUUCAUUUCAUAGUUUUUCCAUUUUUGUAAUACUCUGGUAUUAACUGGAGGGGCCACUAGCAUUUGUCUUGAUGUGUGUGGGAGGAGGAGCUGGGCGUGUGUGUGGGUAUGCGCACGUGCGAACAAAUGUUUUGCUGUUGCUCUCUUAACACCUGCAUAAAGGCAUGUGUAGGAUAAGGUGGAAUAUUUAAGAGUGUGAAGGGAGGCACACAUGGAAAGAGAAUCGAUGCAUUAUAAAAAUACAAAUAGAAGCCUCUGUGAAUAUGUAUGAAAGAAUGAUAC
Molecule: long non-coding RNA, 1019 nt
Filed under: Sus scrofa (pig)
Lineage: Eukaryota; Metazoa; Chordata; Mammalia; Artiodactyla; Suidae
Description: lncRNA (ENSSSCG00030052236.1)
Source: RNAcentral